GACGAACCGUCCUAACGUUGUUCGGAAUCACUGGGCUUAAAGGGCGCGUAGGCGGCCUUGAAAGUCGGGGGUGAAAUCCCACGGCCUAACCGUGGAAGUGCCUCCGAUACUGCAAGGCUCGAGGGAGGUAGGGGCAGCUGGAACUUCCGGUGGAGCGGUGAAAUGCGUUGAUAUCGGAAGGAACGCCGGUGGCGAAAGCGAGCUGCUGGACCUCUGCUGACGCUGAGGCGCGAAAGCUAGGGGAGCAAACAGG
RNAcentral lists this ribosomal RNA (253 nucleotides) under uncultured bacterium. RNAcentral describes it as "partial 16S ribosomal RNA". It matches the Rfam family "Bacterial small subunit ribosomal RNA", at positions 524 to 776 of the family's 1533-position model. The record is from RNAcentral.